This 236-nucleotide ribosomal RNA is filed under the name uncultured bacterium. RNAcentral describes it as "partial small subunit ribosomal RNA". It matches the Rfam family "Bacterial small subunit ribosomal RNA", at positions 26 to 288 of the family's 1533-position model. The record is from RNAcentral.
AGAGCGAACGCUGGCGGCAGGCCUAACACAUGCAAGUCGAGCGCCCGUAGCAAUACGGGAGCGGCAGACGGGAUAGUAACACGUGGGAACGCGCCCUUCGGUUCGGAAUAACUCAGGGAAACUUGAGCUAAUACCGGAUACGCCCUUACGGGGAAAGAUUUAUUGCCGAAGGAACGGCCCGCGUCCGAUUAGCUAGUUGGUGAGGUAAUGGCUCACCAAGGCGACGAUCGGUAGCC